AUAACCACAAAAUGACCACUCUGUUUCUGACGUGUAGGGAUCAGGUUCUGGUUGGUCAGUUUCUGUCUUGCCCACUAAAAUGAAAGACAAACAGACUUACCCUGGGCCUGUGAUGGGAGUAGCAGCCCUGAUGAUCUCUAAAAUGUCUGCGGGGAAUCGUUUUAUUUUAUUGAAAGAUAACUAUGUUCUCAACCUUCCUUCAUUGCAUUUGUGGCUUGCAGAAUGGCAGCUCUUACCAGAAACUGACCCUGUUGGGCCUUGAUCUGAAACUUCAAGCCUCCAGAAUGGGAAUACCUUGACACCCCCCUCAUCCUGAGAUGAAGUCUCACUCUGUUGCCCAGGCAGUUUUGCAGUGGCGUCAUCUUGGCUCACUGCAACCUCCACCUCCUGGUUCAAGUGAUUCUCCUGCCCCAGGCUCCCCAGUAGCUGGGAUCACAGACAUGACUGUGCUUAUAAGAAUGAGGAGGUUUUGCAAUUGGGGACAGGGACAUAAUGACCUCUCUGCCAUUGAUCAUCAAUAAGCCUUGACAAUCGUCCACGUAGGCAUGUGCUGGACACAGAUGCCAAGUCACGCUGCUCCACUAGCUUCUAGCCUCUGUUGUUGAUUGCUUUUCUUGGACCAUUUCCUUUAUUUAAUUGUGUCAAGUUACUUAAGUUAAAGAAGAUAUUUGCUGCUGUUGUGGGUGAAAUCAGCCCACUUGUCAAACAAAAUGUUUGUGAGAUUUUGGAGGAAGCAUCUCGGUGCUGCGGACCAAACACAACAAUGUUCACUGAUGGAGGAAAUCUUCAUUACUGAGUUACUGAUUCUGACCGAACUCAGUGGCUCAAUAAACAACUUUGCUAUCUCAGAAAAUCACCCUCUUUGCCAGCAAGAUGUUUGGAGUCAUUCCAAGAAAAAGAGAGAAAAAAAAAUUCUGGUCAAUGGAGAGACGGGACCACAUUGAAAGGUCUACAACCAAGCCUGAGAAGGUGAAGAUGACAUGCUCUACAUAUUCCACCUGUCAGUAUGACACCAGAGCAUCCUGGCCCCAUUGAAAAUUUCCAUGUUAUGAUGUCUAAUUCUUCAGGGUUUAUUGCUAAUGAUCAAGUUUUGCAUUGAAAAUGUAAGCUAGUUUCUUAAAUAGAUUAGAAAUGGGCUAAAACAGCUGUCUGAAUGUCACAUAUGGUCAGUCUUGUGGAGAUUAGGCUCAUAAUUCUAACAAUGGUUUCACUUUGAGAAUUAAUAAGCUUUGACUGUGAGGACUAAUGUUUGCUGCUUUCUCUACAGUCACAUUUUUCUUCCUUCAAUCCUCAAUGGCUGCAUUUCUCUCACUUUUUUGUUUAUUAUAAAGAACAUCUGUCAUUACACUUUAUAGUCUGGUAGUUACCAUCCUAAGUAAUAUGUAUUAGUCAGUAAAGAAUGGCUACUCCUGUAAAUUUGUAAAAGCUAAAAGCCACAGGGGAAAAAAUAGAAAUAGGCCAACAGAUCAUUCAAAAGCUGAAUUAAAGACCCACGUGCUUACAGGCACUGGUAUAUUACAAAGUUGGUAUUGUAUAUGGAGAGUUUAAAAGAUGAUAUUGGGAAAACUGGCUGAUUAUAUAGAUAAUAAGAAAUCUAGAUGCCCAUAUUGUACCUUACAAGAAGUUAAACAUUUAUUUUCAGCUUGUAUUUUAGACACGGGGGGUAUAUGUGCAGGUUUGUUACAUGGGUAUAUUGCACCUAGAUAGUGAGAAUACUACCCAAUAGUUAGUUUUUUGACUUGCGUCCCCCUCCCUCCACCCCCUUCCCCAGUAGCCUCACUGUCUAUUAUUCCCAUGCGCAUGUCCAUGUGUGCUCAAUGUUUAGUUCCUACUUGUAAGUGGGCACGUUCAGUAUUUGGUUUUGUGUUUCUUCGUUAAUUUGGUUAGGAUAAUGGCCUCCAUCUCCAUCUGUGUUGCUGUAAAAUACACGAUUUCCUUCUUUUUAUGGCCGUGUAAUAUUCCAUGGUGUAAAUGUGUCACAUUUUCUUUGUCCCACUGAUGGACACAUACAUUGAGAUAGAUUGAAAAUGAGUGAAAAGUAAUACUACAAUUCUAAUGAAAAUUUAGAAGCAUAUUUUCAC
This 2081-nucleotide long non-coding RNA is filed under the name Callithrix jacchus (white-tufted-ear marmoset). RNAcentral's name for it is "lncRNA (ENSCJAG00000082839.1)". The record is from RNAcentral. Lineage: Eukaryota; Metazoa; Chordata; Mammalia; Primates; Cebidae.